Molecule: ribosomal RNA, 770 nt
Filed under: Enterococcus sp. BAB-3769
Lineage: Bacteria; Bacillati; Bacillota; Bacilli; Lactobacillales; Enterococcaceae
Description: bacterial SSU rRNA
Rfam family: Bacterial small subunit ribosomal RNA
Source: RNAcentral
GGUUAACUUGACGCUUGAGGCUCGAAAGCGUGGGGAGCGAACAGGAUUAGAUACCCUGGUAGUCCACGCCGUAAACGAUGAGUGCUAAGUGUUGGAGGGUUUCCGCCCUUCAGUGCUGCAGCAAACGCAUUAAGCACUCCGCCUGGGGAGUACGACCGCAAGGUUGAAACUCAAAGGAAUUGACGGGGGCCCGCACAAGCGGUGGAGCAUGUGGUUUAAUUCGAAGCAACGCGAAGAACCUUACCAGGUCUUGACAUCCUUUGACCACUCUAGAGAUAGAGCUUCCCCUUCGGGGGCAAAGUGACAGGUGGUGCAUGGUUGUCGUCAGCUCGUGUCGUGAGAUGUUGGGUUAAGUCCCGCAACGAGCGCAACCCUUAUUGUUAGUUGCCAUCAUUUAGUUGGGCACUCUAGCGAGACUGCCGGUGACAAACCGGAGGAAGGUGGGGAUGACGUCAAAUCAUCAUGCCCCUUAUGACCUGGGCUACACACGUGCUACAAUGGGAAGUACAACGAGUUGCGAAGUCGCGAGGCUAAGCUAAUCUCUUAAAGCUUCUCUCAGUUCGGAUUGUAGGCUGCAACUCGCCUACAUGAAGCCGGAAUCGCUAGUAAUCGCGGAUCAGCACGCCGCGGUGAAUACGUUCCCGGGCCUUGUACACACCGCCCCGUCACACCACGAGAGUUUGUAACACCCGAAGUCGGUGAGGUAACCUUUUGGAGGCAGCCGCCUAAGGUGGGAUAGAUGAUUGGGGGUGAAGUCGUAACAAGGGUAA